UGGGGAGUUUUGCACAAUGGGGGAAACCCUGAUGCAGCGACGCCGCGUGAUUUAGAAGGCCUUCGGGUUGUAAUAAUCUUUUUUACGGGAUGAAAAUGACAGUACCGUAAGAAUAAGGUCCGGCUAAAUACGUGCCAGCAGCCGCGGUAAUACGUAUGGACCGAGCGUUGUCCGGAAUCAUUGGGCGUAAAGGGUACGUAGGCGGCCUAGUAAGUUAGAAGUUAAAGAAUAUAGCUCAACUAUAUAAAGCUUUUAAAACUGCUAGGCUUGAGAGAUGGAAGGGAAAGUGGAAUUCCUAGUGUAGCGGUAAAAUGCGCAGAUAUUAGGAAGAAUACCGGUGGCGAAGGCGACUUUCUGGCCAUAAUCUGACGCUGAGGCUCGAAAGCGUGGGUAGCAAACAGG
Molecule: ribosomal RNA, 402 nt
Filed under: Bacteroidota bacterium
Lineage: Bacteria; Pseudomonadati; Bacteroidota
Description: Bacteroidetes bacterium partial 16S ribosomal RNA
Rfam family: Bacterial small subunit ribosomal RNA
Source: RNAcentral